Molecule: transfer RNA, 71 nt
Filed under: Candidatus Woesearchaeota archaeon
Lineage: Archaea; Nanobdellati; Candidatus Woesearchaeota
Description: tRNA-Gly
Rfam family: tRNA
About the family: Transfer RNA (tRNA) molecules are approximately 80 nucleotides in length.
Source: RNAcentral
ACGGUAGUGGUCUAACGGCAUGACACGACCCUCCCAAGGUCGAUAUCCGGGUUCAAUUCCCGGCUACCGUA